Long non-coding RNA from Astatotilapia calliptera (eastern happy), 1237 nucleotides. The record is from Ensembl. NCBI's taxonomy places the organism in Eukaryota, Metazoa, Chordata, Actinopteri, Cichliformes, Cichlidae.
UGUUGACACUAGCUGUUCAGAUAAAGAAACCAGGUUCUUUGGGAAUCUGUUCUGUGCAGCAGCAGAGAGAGAACAGCAGACAGGAGAGGAGAUACUGGAGCUGUUAUCAUCAGUGUGCAUAUAUAAAACAUUCCCUCUGAAAUGGAAAUGGUGUGAUUUUCUCAUGGACCUGUACUCUUAUAAGACUAAAAAAGGCUUGAGUGUCCUUCCAUCAUUACAGUCAGUUUUCCAGUCAACUCCUGCCGUCUGGUCCAUAAACCUCUCAGAGAGAAAGACCUCCAUCCUCCUGGAAGUGCUGAAACUCCAACCAGAGAAGAAACAAGUGAAGCUGACAGGCUGCUCACAUGAAGAGAGUGAAGUGAGGAGUUUACUCCAGUGUCUGCCUUAUAUCUCACAGCUCAGUGUUAUUCCGUGGAAGUUAGAUGAAGAAAUCAGGUUCUUUGGGAGUGUGUUCUGUGCAGCAGCAGAGAGAGAGCAGCAGACAGGAGAGAAGAUACUGGAGCUGUUAUCAUCAGUGUGCAGAUACAAAGGAUUUCCUGUCAAACAGAAAUUGUGUGAUUUUCUUGUGGAUCUGUACUCUUAUGAGACCAAAACAGGAUCGAGUAUUCUUCAUUCAUUACAGUCAAUUUUCCAGUCAGCUCCUGCAGUCUGGUCCAUAAACCUCUCACAGAGAAAGACCUCCAUCCUCCUGGAAGUGCUGAAACUCCAACCAGACAAGAAACAGGUGAAGCUGAUAGGCUGCUCACAUGAAGAGAGUGAAGUGAGGAAUUUCCUUGAAUGUCUGCCUUAUAUCUCAAAACUCAGCAAUACAUCUCAUACUGUUGGAAAGCCUGUGUAUUACAAGUAAGGAAAAUGUUUUGUGGGUUGAACACUUGAGGGAUCAGUUGGGCAUGCUGUUCAUGGCAGAGUCAACAACACAGCUACAUUGGCUGACUUGCAAGAAUGGGAUGCCAUCCCAAGGCAGUGUGUGACCAAGCUGGUGACCAGCCCAACCAGGAGGAGGUACCAGGCUUUUGUGGUUGUGUAUGGUUCUGCCAGGUGCUACUGAGGCACCUGUUUAUUAAAUGAAUCAUUUGUUAUAUUGCAAAUAUGUCUUGUUUCUUCAGACUUCAAUCCCCCAAUUCAAUAAAUGACACCUUUCAAAAGUGAAUAGCAGAAUAGGCAGUUUGUGUCAUGGUCCUGGGCCAUGUUGGCCCAGUAUUCUUAGUUUUCUUGUAUGUUUGUAUUUUGUUCCCUA